CUGGCCCCCACAGAGUCAAUGGGAUGUCCCUGCUGCCCUGGGGCCAUGGCAAGCUGCACCAACAAGAUCUUCUAGGAAAUGAUGCGGCCCAGCCCACCACCCCAUUUUGCCAAGUCAGCAGAUCCAGACUAUUCCGAGCAUGGAGGACCCUGCAGGCUCCAGAGGCCAGACGGCGGCACACAUGGCCCACCAUGUGGGACACACGUGUGUAACUCCGAGGUCAUGCCUGGGCCCCACCAGCCCUCCCUCUUGGAGUGGGGCUCCUUGCCACAGAGUCCCCUUCUCACCUUGGCUCCCCUUGAAACAGCUCCUUCCUUGACAAGACCAAAAGGCAGACUGCCCUGUUCAAUGAUUUGGACCAUCUGUAAAUGACACUUUGGGCAGUUAUGGCUGUGGAAGAACCCCAAGACUACCAUUGGAACCCCACAAAGCCUGAUCCAUUUUGCAGCUACAACCCCGUUGCCUGAUCCCAUCACGACUUGCAGAACCCAGUAGGAUUUGUGGGAUCUUGUGCUCCUAAGGGAAGCUGAGGCUCACGGCAGAGGCCACAGCAGAAGAGCCAGCACAUUCCCACCAGGGUCCAAAGUCGUUCAGAGACAUGAUGGGCAAUUAUCUACAAUCCAUACCCCUUGAAGGAAAGUUUUUGAUCCCACAUCACCUUGCCACCAUUAUCUCCACUGCUAGACAAGGAGGGGAAGCCCUUCUCAUUGGUCCAAUCCAUCCUCCUUCUCUCUUCUGCCCUUCUUGAGCUCUAACAACCUAAAGGCUAAAAAUCUCUUCUCUUUUUCUCUCUUCUUCCUGGUGCCCAGAAGACAGGAUGGAAAAGCAGAAACUCAUAACCCAAACAGAAAUGGACCUGGGAGGAGAGAGGGGUUAGCCGCAGCUCUCAGCCCAUCCCAGACAGGCUGGAGGAGCCUUGCAGAGAAGAGGCCCACGGUUGGAGCCACACAUAUUUAUUUGAGGAAAUGAUGUGACAUCAGACUAGUCAGAGUAUGACUGAGUAGGCCCACAUACUAGAUUUUCUUGAGAUUCCUAGGAACUAUACCCCUCCCAUGUCUGUGCCAUUCAUCCCAAACUCAGCAAUGAUUGAGAGCUGGUAGGAAAAGGGGAGACUACCCUGAUAACUUUCUCAAAAACCUGUUUUUCCAAGACUAAAUGGGAGGCAGAAAUUACAAACUGUUGUCUCAAUCUGAAACGGUGAACUUACCCCUCCAACCCAUCCUUCGCCAUCUCCAUCGCCUGCAAAAACCCACAGUAUAUAACUAUUCAGUUGGAAACUGAAGUGCUUCCAAUCCAGUGCUCAUUUUUCCUUUCCCUCUCCCAUAGCUACUCC
RNAcentral lists this long non-coding RNA (1333 nucleotides) under Monodon monoceros (narwhal). RNAcentral's name for it is "lncRNA (ENSMMNG00015014128.1)". The record is from RNAcentral. Lineage: Eukaryota; Metazoa; Chordata; Mammalia; Artiodactyla; Monodontidae.